Molecule: long non-coding RNA, 6705 nt
Filed under: Heterocephalus glaber (naked mole-rat)
Lineage: Eukaryota; Metazoa; Chordata; Mammalia; Rodentia; Bathyergidae
Description: lncRNA (ENSHGLG00000036370.1)
Source: RNAcentral
GGCAUAUUGUGUCUGGCGUUGGCCUUCCCCUUUCCCCAAGAAAACUGCCUGGCCUUGAGACAGAUUUUUGCCCAAACUGCUUUUUUCUUUAGAAAGAUUGUAAAAAUGAUAAACUAUAUAUUGGUACAAAAGCCAAACAGAAAUGUCCUAAAUGUAAAAUAGGAUAUCACUGGGCCAGUCCAUGGUGCUCCAAAUUUGGUAAUGAAUGAGGGAAACCCUAUUUCAAAAAAUGGGAAAGGGAUACAACUCCUUGCAAGUAAAAAUAGGGAGGCAAUCAUAAGAUGUUAACAUUCUAGAGUGGGAGUCACACCAGAAUCACAAGAGCCCAUUGUUACCAAUUUUAGCUAAUUGAUAAAUUUACUUUUGGCUUUCAAUUUGAGUUGUUAUGUUUGUUUAAUAUGCUUAAAAUGGUCUUGUGCACAAAUUCUUAGACUACGAUUACAAGGUUAAUACGAUCUUCUGCUUCAGUAGAGGGCAUCACAGUGAGUAAAAUAUAUUCCAUUCCCUACUUGUUAAAUGUAAUUAUGUACUUUAGCAUAAUGGUAGCCAACUGUGCAUCUCAGUAGGUGUGCACGGUUAUAAAGGAAGCAAUCUUUGUGUUCAGCCACUUGGUACGACAAAUGGCAAGGUGUAUGCAUGUGUGCAAAGGUGUCAAAUCAAGAUUUUUACAUAAUUCUCCAUGUAACAUUUUUGUGUGUGUAUCCCUAGGCAUCUUGGGGGUUAAAUUAGUAUGCCCAUACUAUACUUUUUGUAAGGUACCAUACUUUGCCAUAAUGGUAACCGGGUGUGGCUCAUAGUAGCUGUGGCUGGGGAACAUAGGAAUCCAUCUGUGCAUUUGAAAUGGAAAAAACAAAAGACAGAACCGAGACUGACAGUCUCAAGCUUGGCAGAGACUGACAGUCUCGAGUCUGACAUUCUAAGGCUUGCCUCUUCUGCUAAACCAGCGAAGGUCACUGUGCUGGGAAGAUGAACUGCUGAAGGGCCAGGGAUUUAGCUCAGUGGUUCCACCACCUGCCUCAAAAGCGAAAGGUCCGGAGUUCGAUCCCCAGUACCAAAAACCAAAAAACCUGAAACACAGAUGCUUAUCUUCCUAUGUCUUAAAGACAAACUGUAAAAACAACAUUUACCUCCACCUCUAUACCCUUUGCUAGGUUCUGCUUCUGGAAAAUUCUGCUUGCUUCUCUGCCCUGGCUAGAUAACAUAAAUAUGAGAAGAAACAGGGCUCAGACUCUAGAAGGUGACUUCUGGGCCCACUAGCAAUAAUAAACCUGCCUUUCUCUUCAUUUCUCUGAGUGCCACUCUCUUCCUUGGUCUGCCUGCCCUCCAAGUGCCACUUUACAUUCACCUACUUGGCAGAGGAAGGGCAAGGCAUGUAUAGGAAGCAACAGUAGAUGAGUUUUACACAUGAAAUGCUCAUUGCUAAAUUUCUGUGCAUUUAGGAUUUGUUUUUUUUAAGUGUUUUCUUUUUAUUUUUCUUACAGAAUUAGUUGCCAAUCGUGUACAGUGGUACAUGAACAACCAGAUUUGGAAGUUGGGAGGAGGUCGAAAGUGAGUGAUCAGGACUGGCAGGAACUGUGGGUGGAUGAUGCCAUCUGGAAGUUGCUGUUCUCCAUGAUAUUCUUUGUCAUCAUGAUUCUCUGGCAACCAUCGACAAAUAACCAAAGGUUCUUGGACUCUUUAUUCUGUUGAGCCUGACAUGUCUAGUCUUUAUUGGGGCUGUUUCAUCCUGCUUGUGUGGCUGACCUUUCAUUUCCAACCCUUCCUGGUGGCCGAGCUAAUGGCUUCAGUCUCCAUUUCUUCCAUGAGAGACUUUUGUUUGUAUUUUCAUUGUAAUUUACAUAGAAAUUUAUUUCUGAUGUUAUCUUGUAGGUUUUACAAGCAAGUAAACAAGCUUAUGUGAAAAUGUUGAUGUCUAUUCUAAGCACCCAUUACAUAUUUGAUAUUUUAUUUUAUUGAUAUCUUAUUUUCCUGCUAAGUACACAUUAUACAAUAUAAUAAGACAUUCCCGACAAAAGAAGAAGACAAGAAAAGUUACAAAAAACAGAUUCACUGAGAGAGAAAUAGGGCAAUCCAUUCCUUUCACAAUAAGGUACAAGAACAGCCUGCCACAUAGGAAAGAAAAGCUAAGCACGUGUGGUAUCAGUGUAAGACUUGUGUAUGGAACAUGCAGUUGUCCUGUUUGAAGGCUGCUGUGGGUGUGACAGUUGAAGUAAAGAUUAUGUUUGUUGUAGAGUUCUUUUGGUAUUUUUAUUGUAGCUCAUAUAAGAAUUUUUUGGGGGUACCAGAAAUCAAACUCAGGACCUUGUGCUUGCCAGACAGGUCCAGAGCUCAUAUAGGAAUUUAUUCCUGUUAUAUUUUAGAUUUUGAUUUUGUGAACAAAUAUUUGAUGUUGAAAAUGAUGUUUAAACUGGUAUACACAAGUCACACUGGAUGCUGGGGUGUGUCUUUCCUUUCCCUGGAGGGACUCAUGAGUGCUGAGAUACAGCUGGGGUACAUGAUGGCGCACACCUGGAAUUCCCCCACUGGGAACCUGAGUUUGAGCCUGGCCUGAGGUACAGUGUGCAUCUGAAAUCUGGAUUACAGAGCAAGAUCCUGUCUCAAAAAGAGUUGUUUAGUGUUUCAGUACAAAGGGAGUAAAAAUCCUGAGCUGUUAUCGGUAUCUUUCAGAGGCAUAAUGAAGGACCCAGGGGGGCUUGUCCUCCUUUGCUCUAGAGACUUAGCAAAGGCUGACAGCCACGCAGAUGGUUAGAAUUAAAGUAACACUGCCCCAGUUUUGGUAUGGCAGAGGUCAUGGAAUGAGUCUGGUGGCAACUGUUCCACCCAUUCUAUUAUGAAGAUGCAGGUCAAACACAUCAAAGGUUCUCUUAGCUGAAAAUGAAGACCCAGCACUCCUUUAGGAAAAUGUUUCAUACCACACACAAAGUCAGAGUUGUUGGAAAGGAGAUUUUAUUUUCUUCUUCCUAUGCUAUGGAAGAACAUUAUGUUCCUGUUUCAUUUCCUCCCUCAAGGAGAAAAAGGAUAGCAGUUCUCUGGGUCUCAGGACUAAGCUGCUCCCACAGGUCCUAGCCAAGACAAGACACGGAGACUGGUGACUGACUCCUAUCUGCCAGCUAGCUGAUCAACCACCACUGAAGGGCAGACAAGUGACUGAAAGGCAAGUUGUAGACUUGGCCUCAGAGACCAACAGUUCAAACCGUGAGGUGAUCAAAAUGAUAAAGUAAACAGCACCCAGGAUGCAGCUGUCCACGGAGCCCGCAUCUCUGCAUUCUGGCCACUUAAGUUAAGCAGUGUCUAAAGGGGCACAGCCUCCCAGCCUGUCACAGGAAUGGUCAACUCCAGGCCCAAGGCUCUCUGACCAUUCUCCUUGGCUUUGACUUUCAAGUGAAAGGGCAGGGUUCUAGCAAAUCCUCCAAGCCAAGCCAGUCCAAGGAAGGUGUACCAUGGCAGAGGCUCUGGACAUACACAGGGAACCCUAUGUACAGAACCCCUCUCAGGGGCUCUUCAGGGCUCUGAAGCUGAACCCUCAUCUGAACCACCUAAGCAGCCAAGUGAAUUACAAGGAGGCAAAGUAGCUCAAUGGAAGUGUGAACAGGUGGAUGGCCAGGGACUAAGACCCAGGAGACAGUAAGUUUCCUCAGCAGAGCUCUUCCAAACAUGAGCUUCAAGGUUUCUUUCCUUUUCAAAAAGUCACAACCAAAAUCCUGCUGUCCUGAACUCGUUUUCUAGGAAUGAGCAACAGGGAAGAACCAAAAUAAACUUGGGAUAAUGAUGAGUGUAUUUUUAGGCUAAGUGUGUGGUUUGCUAAUUGAGAAGGUACCAAAAAGAUCUCCAGACAGAGAAGUGGGAGCACUUGCUAUUCCUUCAGGCAAAAGCGGAGCUACUGAACAGAAAGAGUGGUGAGGCAGCCACUGCAUCUUUCCCAUUUUUUAAAGGGAAGUAUGUGUGACAUGUUGCCUUCUCCAUCCCAGCCUCUCAGAGAACCAGCUGCCUUCCAUAUUUUAUGAGGAAAAUUGUAAACCCACCAGUACCCGGGCUGAGUUCCCACUGCUGCUAGUUCUGAGGACGUAUGAGACAGGGUCUUGCUUGUAGGAUGACAAAGUUACAGUUUGGAUUUUGUGAAGCAUAGUUAAAAGUCAGAGCUGCCCCUAAAGACACAAAAUAAACUUAUUUCCCUUCCUAAAAAAAUGUACAAAAAGAGAAAAUGGUGUUUUAUUUGAAAUGUGCAAUACAUAUUAUGAAUCGAAUGCUUUGUUGAUAUUUUAUGUUCCUGUUUACUACAAAUUGUAUAAUAAGAACCUCCUGACAAAACAGCAAGAUAGCAAGAUGUCUACUAUGUCCUACAAAAAAGAUAGGAAAGCAAAACACAUGUGCUAUCAGUGUAAAUGAUACAUGCAUGCUGUUUUCAUGUGUGAAGACUGCUUUAGGUAUGAUAAUUGAAGUAAAGAUUAUUUUUGUUGUAAAGUUCUAUUGGUAUUUUCAUUAUAAUGAUGGAGCAAUAAUACACAAUAAGAUUGGCCCUUGCCUUUCCCUUGCCUUGCCUCCAUUUUUUUUUUUUUUUCCACAAAAUGUUUUGUCUCAGAAAUGUGACAGUUUGUGCUGCUGGGCAGCAGCUCCUGCCCAAUGUAUCAAAAUGUUUUGUGACUGAAUUAUGUGACCUUUCAGGAAUGUUCUGUUAAAUUCUGCCCCUCUGCUUCAGGAAUGUUCUGUAACUCUGCCCUCCUUGCUUCAGUGUGCAUGCUCACCUAUCCUGUAGAUCCCUAUUUAAGGAGGCUCUCAUUUCUGGUAGAGCGCUCACACUUCAAGUAUGAACUCCUCUGAGCCUGCCAGUGUAAUAAACGUUUUCUCCACCCUCUUCGAGUGACCAUCAGAUUCUAGAGUCUUCAAAUUGAGAGAGCUGGGGUCCAGAUCUGCACACACUGAGCUGUAAAGCUCAGCUGUGCUCGGAGCUGUGGCACUUGGCUGCAACCCUGAGCUGUAGGGCGGGGAUUUAGCGCAGUGGUUUUGCUGCCUGCUGCACAAGGACCACAGUUCAAUCUCCAGUACCAAAAAACCCCAAAAACAAAAACAAAAAUACCCCAUUGAGCUGUAACACUCAGCUGUGCCUCUGAGCUGUGGUACUUCUGGCUGCGACACUGAGCUAUAACACUUGGCUAUGGCACUGAGCUUCUCUGCCGCAACAGUAGUUCAUAUAGAUAUUUGUUAUUUUUUAGACUUUAAGAAGUUGAUGUUGAAAAUGAUGCUUAUUUAUAAACACUAUUAAAAAUUCAGUAUUUAAAAAUUUUUACACAAUAUAAAACUCAAAAUUAAAAUUAAUUCAUCAGUAUAAAUACUUCUAAAAGAUAAAUGUGGGUGUUAUACACCCCAUGAUGCUCCUUUAAUCUAAAAUUGACAUGAUCCCCCAAUAAGGGUACUUUUUCAAGGCUGUUUACAGAUUUGUUGGCAGCCAGUCAGAUUUAAAAAUGUAACAAUCUGAGACCAAAGGAAAAAAGAAAAAGAAGGACACUUUAAAAUCCAAGUGGCUGCAGCGAAGUUUGUUUUAGCCUGUGGCAAGUACAGUGUUACCUCAGUUCAUGAAUGCUUUUGUUUGCAAGCAGUUUGGUUUGGCAAAAUUUUUCUUUUGUUUGUGAACACUGUGUCAGGUGAUAAACAUGACUGCAGUCAUCUUUCCUACAUGAACAUGAAUAUGGCUGUCUUUUCCAGAAUCAUGGGGGACAAAUUAAGUUUGUGAACCAAGGGACCACUGUAGGACAGAGAAAAUAUAGAAGAAGCUUUAAGUAUAGAGAUACAUUUUUGAUGUGAGGAUUUUGUAUGAUAAAGUUAAGAAAGAGGGAAAUAAUGACAGACCUGGAAGACUUAAGCAUGUCAAAAAGUUUGUGGAAGAUACAGUUUAUAGAAAGAAAUACGUAUGUUUAUUUUAUGCUUUGCUCUUGUUAGUUUGAUUAAGCCCAAACUAUUUCUUUUAAUAAAUCCUUGUUGCUCAAAGAAGAUUAGGGGGCUAUAAUCCUGACUCUCAUCAGUCACUUCUCAUUUCUCAGCUCUCCUCUCUGGUUUAACUGGUGCUUUCAGGCAAAGGGUAUAAUUCUCCUUUCUGAGAUUAAUAUUAGCUGGGCCUGGGGGCCAGGUAUUUAGCUCAGUGGCACUGCUCCUGGCUCAAAAGCACAAGGUCCUGAGUUCGAUCCUCAGUACAAAAAAAAAAGGCUGGGCCUCGUAGUGCAUGCUUUAAUUCCAGCACUUAGAAGAUGAGGCAGGAGGAUUGCCACGAGUUUAGAGGCCAGCCUGGGCUACAUAGUGAGUUCAAGGCCAACCUGAACUACACGGUGAAACCCUGUCUAAAAAAAAAAAAAAAAAAAUAUAUAUAUAUAUAUAUAUAUAUAUAUAUAUGUAUCUCAUGAGCGUUUCUGCAUGACUAGCAGAGACAUCUAUCUAAACUGGUCAGUGACAAAAAACAAGUCAAAACUGCCUCCUUGAGCAAUUUCAACCUGGUUUGUGACACUCAUUGCUGACUUCAUGAUAUAUUAAAUAUAUUUAUAAUUCCUAAGUGUAUGGGUCUUCAACAAUGCAAAAUUUUAAAAAAAAUAUCAUACUAAUGACUUCUAGCCUAAAAGUAUUUAUGAUAAUAAAAUUUUAAACUCAAAUCUCUGGCUUCUCCUUUUCUUGUUUUCUGUUUAUGAUAAAAUAUACAUUGCCAAUCUAACAGGCAGCUAG